CCUACGGGAGGCAGCAGUGAGGAAUAUUGGUCAAUGGGCGGGAGCCUGAACCAGCCAAGUCGCGUGAGGGAAGACGGUCCUAUGGGUUGUAAACCUCUUUUGGCGGGGAGCAAUGCCGGUCACGUGUGCCCUGAGGGAGAGUACCCGCAGAAUAAGCAUCGGCUAACUCCGUGCCAGCGGCCGCGGUAAUACGGAGGAUGCGAGCGUUAUCCGGAUUUAUUGGGUUUAAAGGGUGCGUAGGCGGAUUUUUAAGUCAGCGGUAAAAUGUCCGGGCUCAACCCGGGCCGGCCAUUGAAACUGGGGAUCUUGAGUGGGCGAGAAGUAUGCGGAAUGCGUGGUGUAGCGGUGAAAUGCAUAGAUAUCACGCAGAACUCCGAUUGCGAAGGCAGCAUACCGGCGCCCGACUGACGCUGAGGCACGAAAGCGUGGGGAUCGAACAGGAUUAGAUACCCUAGUAGUC
This 460-nucleotide ribosomal RNA is filed under the name uncultured bacterium. RNAcentral describes it as "partial 16S ribosomal RNA". It matches the Rfam family "Bacterial small subunit ribosomal RNA", at positions 338 to 795 of the family's 1533-position model. The record is from RNAcentral.